GGCUCAGUUGUCUAGGGGUAUGAUUCUCGCUUUGGGUGCGAGAGGUCCCGGGUUCAAAUCCCGGCUGAACCC
Stegodyphus mimosarum is the source of this 72-nucleotide non-coding RNA. NCBI's taxonomy places the organism in Eukaryota, Metazoa, Arthropoda, Arachnida, Araneae, Eresidae. The record is from Rfam.